CGCGUCGGUUGACAAUGGUUUCCUCGGGGUGUCAAUUUCAACUGUUACCCUCCCAAACAGGCACUAUUUAUAUAAUGAUACAUUGCGGUGAUUAUUAUUGCAGGGAUGAUUUUCACCCCUAUUGCACAUGUAGCUAAUAAGCACAAUUGAAAUUUAGAAGACAUGCUAAUUAUGUCACUUAUUAAAUAACUUGUUUAACAAGUGUGCAAAAUUACUCCUGAUGAUAGCGGGUUUGCAGCCCAUAAUUUAACAAUUUUAAAUAUAAAAUCAAAAACUUUGUGUCAAGCCGCUGAAACAACAAUAUGAUGUUGGUUAAGUAAUAUAAGGACUGAUGAAAAAGGGUGCACACACACACACACACACACACACACACACACCGUAAACUCGAGGUCACAACUCUAAGCACAUUAUGAGCACUCAGUUGGAGCGCAGUCAUUUGUUAGUCAAAGUUUGUAGGAAUGCAGUUACACGCCGCAGGAGCUGAGUAGAAAUCCCUUGGUCAACUGUCACAUUUUCACCUUGUAAAAAUUUAAAAUACAACUGUACAAUGUUUUUGAAUUUCCCAGCGAACCCACAGCAAUUCCAGAAAUAUAACAGUAUCGUGAAACUCUGGGGGAAUGCAAUCUGGUGUGACAGGACCUAAGCUUUGAGAAAACAAUCAGGUUACCAGAAAUUUGCAUUUGUCAAAUUCUUUGAGCUGGAUGAUAGUAACAAACAUUAGUAAAAGGAUGUAAAAUUUGAAUUACAGUUCUCAUAUGAAAUGCAAUCAUUAUAUUAAUAUAUAUGUAAAUUAUAUCUUACACUAGCCAACAAUUACCCCCACCCCCUUUCUAAUAAAAUCACAACAUACACGAGCUAUAAUUCAAUAGUGUACUCGUAGUUUAGAUAAAUCUACAAAUCUACCUCUGGUAUUAGUAGGAUAUUUUAGGUAAAAAAAACCCAACUCACUUUUUGGCUUUCUUGAAGUACCUCAUGUUUAUCAACUAGAAAAUAUCUAAUAUCAAAAUACUCCAGUAUAUUCUGUAAAUAACUUCUCAGCAUGCAUGGUCAAUAGAAAUGUCAUGACCUAAAGCCCAUAUUCCUCUGCUACAUUUGGUUUGCUAAUGUCACCGCCGGCCAUUCAUGCACAUGCUAAGGUCCUCUAUCAGAUGUCAAUCACUAACUGGAUGCUGAUAAGAUGUUCGGGGUGUGCUAAUAAUAGUAACUGUGUGAAAUUUGAGAGCUUUCAACAGCAGAUCACUGCUUUAGGAACAGAUGCAAAAUGUGGUCGCAAAUUUAAUUUAAGAUCAACGCUGCAUGUGUACUUUAUGAAGGUGAACAGAAAUAUUGUUUGGAAAUUGCAGUUGCAAACUUCGCAGGAUGCUUGCAUCAAGGUGAUGAUGAUUGGCAGUGACAAAAUAUUUUGCCUUGUGGAUUUUGGUUUGAAAUCACUGCAUUUGAAUUGUUUGCUGGUCUGGUGGAUGGGUAGCAUUAAUUUGGACAGAGCUUGAUCGAGAUGAAAGAUGCUUGAAGAUUAAGAUUCUAUAGAAGAUCUGGACAUCCCCCCUGGGAGGAAAUCAAUGAGGCCACAGAAAAGUUCAAAAGCCAUCCAGCCAGUCACACAGUAUGAACAGAAGAUAAACAGAACAGAAGAUAAACCUUGAUUCAUGUCAACCAUGUAUCGAAGACCGAAUUAAGUGAAAGUGCUUUCUGGAAAAUGCAGCUCUACUUGGGAACUCCAUCCUGAAUUUGAUGGAUGCGAGCUUUAUGUUUUUAGUAAUUAUAAAAUCAUAUGCACUGAGACAAUUAUUAAUAUAGUUAAAUUUUUAAUUAUAUAAACAUCUAAUCCAAUUACAAACUAAACUUGAUAUUUAAUAUAAAAAGAAA
Molecule: long non-coding RNA, 1866 nt
Organism: Magallana angulata
Lineage: Eukaryota; Metazoa; Mollusca; Bivalvia; Ostreida; Ostreidae
Exons: 3
Source: RefSeq, a predicted model, not a curated record